Alosa sapidissima (American shad) is the source of this 100-nucleotide long non-coding RNA. RefSeq lists it as uncharacterized. Lineage: Eukaryota; Metazoa; Chordata; Actinopteri; Clupeiformes; Clupeidae. The transcript has 3 exons. The record is from RefSeq and is a predicted model, not a curated record.
UUGUGCUCUUCAGUGCUCUCAAUUGUUGUAGCAAGGGGGUCACUUGCGCUUCAGCCUGGUUGGUGCUCACGGAACAGGACGCAGAAGUCAAUGAGGAGAC